This 346-nucleotide ribosomal RNA is filed under the name uncultured bacterium. Its description in RNAcentral is "partial 16S ribosomal RNA". It matches the Rfam family "Bacterial small subunit ribosomal RNA", at positions 338 to 681 of the family's 1533-position model. The record is from RNAcentral.
CCUACGGGUGGCAGCAGUGAGGAAUAUUGGUCAAUGGACGAGAGUCUGAACCAGCCAAGUAGCGUGAAGGAUGACUGCCCUAUGGGUUGUAAACUUCUUUUAUAAAGGAAUAAAACGAGGCACGUGUGCCGUUUUGCAUGUACUUUAUGAAUAAGGAUCGGCUAACUCCGUGCCAGCAGCCGCGGUAAUACGGAGGAUCCGAGCGUUAUCCGGAUUUAGUGGGUUUAAAGGGAGCGUAGAUGGGUUGUUAAGUCAGUUGUGAAAGUUUGCGGCUCAACCGUAAAAUUGCAAUUGAUACUGGCAGUCUUUUGUACAGUUGAUGUAGGCGGCAUUCGUUGUGUAGCGG